This 86-nucleotide transfer RNA is filed under the name Swaminathania salitolerans. RNAcentral's name for it is "tRNA-Leu". It matches the Rfam family "tRNA". From Rfam's summary of the family: Transfer RNA (tRNA) molecules are approximately 80 nucleotides in length. The record is from RNAcentral. Lineage: Bacteria; Pseudomonadati; Pseudomonadota; Alphaproteobacteria; Acetobacterales; Acetobacteraceae.
GCGAACUUGGCGGAAUGGUAGACGCACGAGACUUAAAAUCUCGAGUCCGCAAGGGCGUAUGGGUUCGAGUCCCAUAGUUCGCACCA